Molecule: long non-coding RNA, 815 nt
Organism: Alligator mississippiensis (American alligator)
Lineage: Eukaryota; Metazoa; Chordata; Crocodylia; Alligatoridae
Exons: 2
Source: RefSeq, a predicted model, not a curated record
CUCAUCUGUGAUCAGGUGCAAAGAAGAAGGAAUUUUGCAUAUCUUACCAUUUGAACUACACAAUACUUUAAGGGAAAGAUAUCAACUACAAUGCUUCAAAGACACAAUGCUUCAAGGCAAAGAUCAAGACUGAAAAACCAACUCUGAGAUAACCAACUUUACUGGAAUGACCUAAUCGAAGAUACCAACUUUACUGGAAUUACCUCAAGUUGAGAAAACCAGAAGGAACAACCUCUAAUUAAAGACUGAGCAUGGAACAACCCCAAUGCUGAACAAAGACUUGAAAUCCCUAUAAAAGUGAGAUGCAGACAAGCCAUGAUGGGGAAUCCACUCUCUGCAACCUCAUGGAGCGCAGGCAUGCAUAUGCCUGUAUACCCCCACUCAUAUCCUCAAUAAGCCUGGACCCAGCUAUCCAGUGCUAGUAUUGAGUAAGAUCUGCAGGCACAAUCCUGCACUGCUGAAACUUUGCCAAUCAUUGAAUUAAGCAACGGGCAUAGAUGGGCUCUCCAGUAGAAUUACUUUUGGGAGAAACUGCUAAACUUUCUCCAGACUCAGGAGGACUAUGCAUAUCUGCAAGAUAAAAUAUGAACUUUAUUUUAACAUUAUUUUUACCCUGCACUUCACAGACAUAGAGCAUAAUCAACUGACUGUGUGGAAGAAGAGUUUUGCCUUAAGAAACAAAAUCUGUUUUAUAAGCAAAAAUGUGUCCCAUUUACAUCAAUGGAAAUUUUUCUUGCAUAGAGAAUAUAGAAUUAGGCCUUCUGCAAGGUAUGUCAUCAGGCAAUGUAAUGAUUAAAGCCAAACUAGUGAAUGUA